This 21-nucleotide non-coding RNA is filed under the name Caenorhabditis elegans. The record is from RNAcentral. Lineage: Eukaryota; Metazoa; Nematoda; Chromadorea; Rhabditida; Rhabditidae.
UUUCUUUACUAGCUGAGUGGU